RNAcentral lists this transfer RNA (71 nucleotides) under bacterium. RNAcentral describes it as "tRNA-Gln". It matches the Rfam family "tRNA". Rfam says of the family: Transfer RNA (tRNA) molecules are approximately 80 nucleotides in length. Their secondary structure includes four short double-helical elements and three loops (D, anti-codon, and T loops). The record is from RNAcentral.
UGCCGGGUCGUCUAAUGGUAGGACACAUGGCUCUGGACCAUGUAAUCUUGGUUCGAAUCCAAGCCCGGCAG